Molecule: long non-coding RNA, 529 nt
Filed under: Mytilus galloprovincialis (Mediterranean mussel)
Lineage: Eukaryota; Metazoa; Mollusca; Bivalvia; Mytilida; Mytilidae
Source: RNAcentral
CCUCUGUGACAUCUUACAUUAAUGGGGUUUUAUAUGGAACUUGUGCUUUCUAAGUUUAACCAAUGCCUCCUGUAUGAAAUGUUUUUUUUCCUCAUUUUUAUUUUGGGUUGACAUAAACCUAGAAUAGGAAAUAGGAACACUUCAAAUUUCUUCCUUGUUUUUGUUAUUUUAAAAACAUGCCAUUUACCUUUAGGUUCAACUGAAAAAGACGUUUAUGAAAUCUUUGUACAUAAAAAUAUGUUCACACUGAUUGAAUAGCUCCUGUCAUUACUCUGUUAUUACAAAAUAUGUCCACAAUCAUACAGUUAGAAAUUGUUGAAUGAUCCCAAGUUGAACCGAAAGUGAAAGUGGAAAACCCCGCGGGAAAGGACUUCGAUCCUUGUCUUUUAAAUGCUUGAAAUGGUGAACUAUAAGCUUUUUAAUAAGCUUGUCUGACUGAUAUUGGAAAUUAUCCUAUUUGUGUGUCUUUUAAGCACUAAAGACUGGAUUUGAAAUAAUUCAUUAAAUAAUGUUUAAAGCCAGAAAUAAC